CUGGAGGGAGCUCAGAGUGGGAGGCAGAGAGAAGUGUGCUCAGAGGGCACCCAUUUCUGCAUGUAACGUGGUCCUGAGAUUUUUGCUGGGAAGGGUUUCCAGGGUUUCAUAUGUGUUAUGGAGCUACUUCCUCUCCCCAGCCUCACCCUGCAGGAAUCCAGUGACUAUAUUGCCGCCAGUGUACCCAUUCCUGAGGGGUGAUGCUUCUACAAGGCCUGUGACUUGGUGCACAACUUCAGACACCAUCAUCCUGAGCAAGUGGGCUUCUCCGGGAUCUUAAUUCAGGAGCCAAGAGACACAAACCUGCCUGGCCACCUUUAGAAUAUGACAGCACAGCCAGUGGCCUCUACUGGAUCCUGUACAACCUCACAAGACCCCCAGACACCAGGAGUGCUGCUAGAACAUGGUGCAAGAGUCCUGAGGGACCACAGUCCUGAAGACAUUGAAUGUUUUUAGGUGAAAAAAACUGGGGCAAAGAGCAAUACAAGAGAGUUGCCGAAAUUCGUUCUGCUUGUCCAGGUUUGAAGCAAGCAGUCUGCACCUAGUGUCCUUGUCUGUAACCAUGGCACCCUGGUUUCUCACACAUCUCAUAAUGGAGUUCCACCUUGUGUCAAGCAUGGCACUGAGCAGUUUAUUUUAAGAACAUAAUUUGUAAUUAUGUAGAUUACUAAUUCUACUUCAAAAUGACACACAGUCUUCAUGUGAUAAAAGGAAACAAUUGGGAUCUCUACUAAGAUGUUGGCAGCCCGGCCAGCUGGUCUGGCCAUGGAUGUGACUUCAGGGGCUGGUUAUGCUUCAUGCACCUGCUUCUAGCUUCACUGUUGGGCCAGAUUUCAUCCCCACCCCAGCUCUGCAGCGCAGCUGCUUCUUGAUUCCUCCAUGGACCCUGCGUGAAAUUAC
RNAcentral lists this long non-coding RNA (900 nucleotides) under Homo sapiens (human). RNAcentral's name for it is "HSALNT0400654". Lineage: Eukaryota; Metazoa; Chordata; Mammalia; Primates; Hominidae. The record is from RNAcentral.